GGCAAAAUGAACUAAAAAAAAAAUUAAUUAAUUUUAUUAGGGAAAGUAAAUACAAAGGCAUAAGCCACAGUUUCAUCUUAUCAAGAUAUUAUUCAUUAGGAAAUUUACAGCAUUCACUGCAAGAGAAAAACUUAUUAUAUAUAUAUGUGUGUGUGAAAUGGAAGGGAGGGUCACAUGAGGUUGCAGGAAUAGUUCAUACAGCUGAAAAGGGUGUAAUCUUGAAAUCAAGAUCCCAUAGCUCAAAAUUUCCCUCGACAAAAUCAUAGUGUGCACCUUUCAAUGCCAGAGUUUUUUUCAGCAAUCCUUCUCUCACGAAUGGAUACGUCAACAAGUUUCCUAGCGAAACAUUCACAGCCUCCUGCAUUUUUCCAUUAACAACUAUAUAUAAGCAUUAAUUAAUUCCUUACGAUUCUUGAAAUCUCUUUUAUUAUGGUGCAUGCACCAUAAAGGGAACCUUUUUCCUUUCAAACUUAUUUAUUUGAAGGUUUCCUUUAAACUAAAACGUGAUUAUAAUAAUAAACUACAAAUAAAGAAACAAAUUAAAAUUAAGCUGCACUGAAUUUAACUUGCCUUCUCGCAAUUGUGGCAUUGCUCUUCAAAACUCAAGCUGUUGCAGUCUGUCUUAACCUUGGCCUUUGCAGUUGAGCAGAUUUGGACCCAAUUUUCUAUGAAUUCACUAGAAGUGGUCCCAUCAUCUGGGAUAGACAUGAGCCCCUUAAUACCACCGCAGCGGCUGUGGCCAAUGACUACUAUAUUCUCCACCUGACCUCAAGAUUCAAAAGAAAAGAUGAUAAGAAACCGAUUAACUGAGUAAUAGAACUUACAGCAUUUAUCCAUUUUUUUUAUAUGCAGUGCAGGCAACAAAACAGCAUAUUACCAUGAAUAAAUCCAAGAAAUAUUUUUCAUAUCAAGUAGAAAAAUUAAAUGACAUGGAAGACAUCCAUCUCUUUCAGUAUAGUGGUUGGCCUGGGUCCAUUUGGCAAUUGGCAUUAUAAGUGAAAAAUUUAUAUAAAGUAUGUAGGGCAAAAGUAUAAUGACUAGACUUCACGUUCCCCUCCACCAUUGUUGGUUAUAAAAGAGCCACACCAUUAAAGAAUUAACGUAUUGGGGUGUUAAGAGUAAAAAGUUAAUCGACUAUU
RNAcentral lists this unclassified non-coding RNA (1139 nucleotides) under Hevea brasiliensis (rubber tree). The record is from RNAcentral. Lineage: Eukaryota; Viridiplantae; Streptophyta; Magnoliopsida; Malpighiales; Euphorbiaceae.